CGAAGGGUGCAAGCGUUAUCCGGAUUCAUUGGGUUUAAAGGGUGCGUAGGCGGGGCAAUAAGUCAGUGGUGAAAUCCUGCGGCUUAACCGUAGAAUUGCCAUUGAUACUGUUGCUCUUGAGUAGGCUCGACGUGGGCGGAAUGUGCCGUGUAGCGGUGAAAUGCUUAGAUAUGGCACAGAACACCGAUAGUGAAGACAGCUCACGAGGGCCAAACUGACGCUGAGGCACGAAAGCGUGGGGAUCGAACAGGAUUAGAUACCCUGGUAGUCCACGCCGUAAACGAUGAUCACUCGUUAUUGGCGAUAUACGGUCAGUAACCUAGCGAAAGCGUUAAGUGAUCCACCUGGGGAGUACGAUCGCAAGAUUG
This 368-nucleotide ribosomal RNA is filed under the name uncultured organism. RNAcentral describes it as "bacterial SSU rRNA". It matches the Rfam family "Bacterial small subunit ribosomal RNA", at positions 526 to 896 of the family's 1533-position model. The record is from RNAcentral.